GGAGUUAGCCGGUGCUUCUUCUGCGAGUAACGUCACAGAUGUAAGGUAUUAACUUACACCCUUUCCUCCUCGCUGAAAGUGCUUUACAACCCGAAGGCCUUCUUCACACACGCGGCAUGGCUGCAUCAGGGUUUCCCCCAUUGUGCAAUAUUCCCCACUGCUGCCUCCCGUAGGAGUCUGGGCCGUGUCUCAGUCCCAGUGUGGCUGAUCAUCCUCUCAGACCAGCUAGGGAUCGUCGCCUAGGUGAGCCUUUACCUCACCUACUAGCUAAUCCCACCUGGGCUUAUCCAUCAGCGCAAGGCCCGAAGGUCCCCUGCUUUCCCCCGUAGGGCGUAUGCGGUAUUAGCAGUCGUUUCCAACUGUUAUCCCCCACAAAUGGGCAAAUUCCCAGGCAUUACUCACCCGUCCGCCGCUCGUCAUCUUCAAAGCAAGCUUUUGAAAUGUUACCGCUCGACUUGCAUGUGUUAGGCCUGCCGCCAGCGUUACAUCUGACGCCAUGAUCAAACUCUGA
RNAcentral lists this ribosomal RNA (511 nucleotides) under uncultured bacterium. Its description in RNAcentral is "partial 16S ribosomal RNA". The record is from RNAcentral.